This 433-nucleotide ribosomal RNA is filed under the name uncultured bacterium. RNAcentral's name for it is "partial 16S ribosomal RNA". It matches the Rfam family "Bacterial small subunit ribosomal RNA", at positions 29 to 507 of the family's 1533-position model. The record is from RNAcentral.
AACGAACGCUGGCGGCAUGCCUAACACAUGCGAGUCGAACGAACCCUUCGGGGUUAGUGGCGCACGGGUGCGUAACGCGUGGGAAUCUGCCCUUUGCUUCGGAAUAACUCAGGGAAACUUGUGCUAAUACCGGAUGAUGUCUUCGGACCAAAGAUUUAUCGGCAAGGGAUGAGCCCGCGUAGGAUUAGGUAGUUGGUGGGGUAAAGGCCUACCAAGCCGACGAUCCUUAGCUGGUCUGAGAGGAUGAUCAGCCACACUGGGACUGAGACACGGCCCAGACUCCUACGGGAGGCAGCAGUGGGGAAUAUUGGACAAUGGGCGCAAGCCUGAUCCAGCAAUGCCGCGUGAGUGAUGAAGGCCCUCGGGUCGUAAAGCUCUUUUACCAGGGAUGAUAAUGACAGUACCUGGAGAAUAAGCUCCGGCUAACUCCGUG